Long non-coding RNA from Bufo bufo (common toad), 406 nucleotides. RefSeq lists it as uncharacterized. The record is from RefSeq and is a predicted model, not a curated record. NCBI's taxonomy places the organism in Eukaryota, Metazoa, Chordata, Amphibia, Anura, Bufonidae. The transcript has 2 exons.
CCCCGUCCUCUGUAUUCCCAGGACUGUCCAGAAGAGAAGGUCCCGGAGAACCCUCAGAUGACAAAUCAGGGGGAAGAUCUGAUUGAUAUUAAAGAGGAGGCUGAAGAAGAGCGGAUGAUGGGCGAUUUCCCCCCGUGUAAGAGUGAGGUGGAGGAGGACAUUCCAAGAGAUGUCACCACAGGUAUGGAAUCAUGAAUGGAGAAAGUGACUUCAGGUUCUGUCCUUGGUGCCUUCAGGGCAGGAGGAGAAUCUGAUCACCGGCUGCUGCGCUGCUCUUUGAUUGGAGAUGUCUCCAUCACAUCAUGAAGUGUUCCCUUAUCCAGCUGAUGGCGAUCUCUGAUCCCAGCUGUUCCUCCAGUAUAUGACGGUCAGUCACUGUCACUGCCGGCCCUGUGAGAGAUCUGAG